This 490-nucleotide ribosomal RNA is filed under the name uncultured bacterium. RNAcentral's name for it is "bacterial SSU rRNA". It matches the Rfam family "Bacterial small subunit ribosomal RNA", at positions 28 to 526 of the family's 1533-position model. The record is from RNAcentral.
GAUGAACGCUAGCGGCAGGCCUAACACAUGCAAGUCGAGGGGCAGCAUAUUGGUAGUUUACUACUAAUGAUGGCGACCGGCGGACGGGUGCGUAACGCGUAUGCAACCUACCUUUAAGAGGGGGAUACUUCCGGGAAACUGGUUCUGAUACCCCAUAAUAUAGCUUAAGGCAUCUUAGUUUAUUGAAAUGAAUUUCGCUUAAAGAUGGGCAUGCGUUGUAUUAGAUUGUUGGUGAGGUAACGGCUCACCAAGUCUACGAUACAUAGGGGGACUGAGAGGUUUACCCCCCACACUGGUACUGAGACACGGCCCAGACUCCUACGGGAGGCAGCAGUGGGGGAUAUUGCACAAUGGGGGAAACCCUGAUGCAGCGACGCCGCGUGAGGGAAGAAGGUUUUUGGAUUGUAAACCUCUGUCUUUGGGGAAGAGUAGAAGACGGUACCCAAGGAGGAAGCCACGGCUAACUACGUGCCAGCAGCCGCGGUAAAAC